This 249-nucleotide long non-coding RNA is filed under the name Pelobates cultripes (western spadefoot toad). Lineage: Eukaryota; Metazoa; Chordata; Amphibia; Anura; Pelobatidae. The record is from RNAcentral.
GUAAAAUUUGUGGCUAGGGGCUGUAGAGAGUGUGUGUGUGGGGGGCAUAGUGUUAUAGGGGAUGUAGCGAGUGUGUGUAUACGGGCUGUAGUGUGUGUGUAUAGGUGACGUAGUGUGUGUAGGGGUUGUAGAGGGGUGUGUAGAGAGAAUGUUGUAUGUGUUUGCUGACAAGGAAUGUAGUGUGUGUGUAGGUGGUGCAGUGUGUGUGUGUAGGAGAUCUAGUGUGUAAAGGACCCAGAGUGUGUAUAG